Molecule: ribosomal RNA, 484 nt
Filed under: uncultured bacterium
Lineage: Bacteria
Description: partial 16S ribosomal RNA
Rfam family: Bacterial small subunit ribosomal RNA
Source: RNAcentral
AGUGAACGCUGGCGGCGUGCUUAACACAUGCAAGUCGAACGAGAACGGGUUAUAGCUCGCUAUAAUUGUCAGCUAAGUGGCGCACGGGUGAGUAAUGUAUAGGUAAUAUGCCUCUUACUAAGGGAUAACAAAUGGAAACGUUUGCUAAUACCUUAUACUCCUUAUUAACAGAAGUUAAUAAGGGAAAGAUUUAUUGGUAAGAGAUUAGCCUGUAUUGUAUCAGUUAGUUGGUGGGGUAAUGGCUUACCAAGACUAUGACGCAUAACUGGUUUGAGAGGAUGAUCAGUCACACUGGAACUGAGACACGGUCCAGACUCCUACGGGAGGCAGCAGUGGGGAAUAUUGCACAAUGGACGAAAGUCUGAUGCAGCAACGCCGCGUGGAGGAUGACACAUUUCGGUGCGUAAACUCCUUUUAUAUGAGAAGAUAAUGACGGUAUUAUAUGAAUAAGCACCGGCUAACUCCGUGCCAGCCGCCGCGGUAA